Molecule: ribosomal RNA, 497 nt
Filed under: uncultured bacterium
Lineage: Bacteria
Description: partial 16S ribosomal RNA
Rfam family: Bacterial small subunit ribosomal RNA
Source: RNAcentral
GAUGAACGCUGGCGGCGUGCCUAAUACAUGCAAGUCGAGCGAACAGAUCAGGAGCUUGCUCCUCUGACGUUAGCAGCGGACGGGUGAGUCACACGUGGAUAACCUACCUCUAAGACUUGGCUAACUUCGGGAAACCGGAGCUAAUACCGGAUAAUAUAUUGAACCGCAUGGUUCAAUAGUGAAAGACGGUUUUGCUGUCACUUAUAGAUGUAUCCGCGCCGCAUUGGCUAGUUGGCAUGGUAACGGCUUACCAAGGCAACGAUGGGUAGCCGAGCUGAGCGGGUGAACGGGCACAGUGGAGGUGAGACGCGGUCCAGACACCGAGGGGAGGCAGCGGUAGGGAAGCUUCCGAAAUGGGCGAAAGCCUGACGGAGCAACGCAGCGUGAGUGAUGAAGGUCUGCGGAUCGGAAAACUCUGUUAUUAGGGAAGACCAAAUGUGUAAGUAACGAUGCACGGCUUGACGGUACCUGAUCAGAAAGCCACGGCUAACUACGUG